GCGGCCCCGGGGGACCCCCGGAACCAGCGCUGCCGGGGAAGCGCGCGAGGGAGGGGAAAGCAGACGGGGGUUCUAUCCCCGCGCCCCAGCCGACCCCUCCGCAGGCUAGUGAUGCAGGCCUGGCUCCCGAGGGAGGGUGCGGGGCGGAGAUGGCGGCCUGCUUGGGAAUCAUCCUCCUCAGCGUUUACUGAGCGCUUAAUAAGUGCAAACCCGUGCUAACGCUCUUAAGGAGCUAUCUCAGAGCCUCCGGUCCCGACCUUGGCAGACUGUCCUCAGUUGACCAGGGAGAGUGUAAGGGGGCAGGGGACUGGAGGCAAACAGUGGGGGUUUCUGGACUCGCCGGAGAAGGACACAACGGAUCUAAAUCGGGCUUUCAAAUUGGGAGGAUGUCACUGAGUGGCGCGUUGCUGAAGAGCAACAUUGGACACAACAGUAGUCCUCCUCAUCAGCGGUUUUGCUUUCCUGAGUUCCCGUUACCUGAUGUCAACCAAGGUCUGGAAGCAGAUGACCCUUCGUAGUAACCGAUGGUACGUCACCACGCCUAUCAUUCACCUCACUCCGUCUCCUCACUUAGGCAUUUUAUCGUUUCUCAUCACAUGAAGGAGCUUUGGCAUCUCAAGACGCUCUAGGCCCAUCUUAUGUGUUACAACACUAGAGCCAACUUCUCCAGAGACCAAUGGUUUUCAUUGGAGGAUGGUGUUUAGAAACCAACUGAUUGUGCCCAUUAUAACUGGGAUAUCACUGUUUCGAGGCCCUAUCAGUGGACAGAAUAGGAAAUAUAUGUAUGUUGACUAACCCACGUAUCCAUACAUAUCUGUAUUUACUUCUAUACUUAUCUAGCUGUAUAUAUAAUUAAAAACAAA
Suricata suricatta (meerkat) is the source of this 863-nucleotide long non-coding RNA. RefSeq lists it as uncharacterized. NCBI's taxonomy places the organism in Eukaryota, Metazoa, Chordata, Mammalia, Carnivora, Herpestidae. The transcript has 3 exons. The record is from RefSeq and is a predicted model, not a curated record.